This 272-nucleotide long non-coding RNA is filed under the name Brassica napus (rape). RNAcentral's name for it is "long non-coding RNA (BNAP_LNC017238)". Lineage: Eukaryota; Viridiplantae; Streptophyta; Magnoliopsida; Brassicales; Brassicaceae. The record is from RNAcentral.
GCGGUUAGUAAAUUUUUUAUGUUUUUAUAUAUGUAUAAAUAUUAUCAUCUUACGAUAUGUCUUCUCAUCCUAAGAAUUUCAUAUCUAAAAAUGUGUCUUAUCAUCCUAAGAAUGUGUUUUUCAUAUGUCUUUUCAUCUUAAUAAUUUUAUGGUUAAAACAUUUUUAUGCAUCAAUUUGUUAUAUGUGCUAUUUAUUCAGUAAAUCACUAGUACAUGUAAAUUGAAGAGAACUAUUAGCGAUUUAAGUGAAUUUUUAGAACCAUUUAAGUGAA